RNAcentral lists this ribosomal RNA (540 nucleotides) under uncultured bacterium. RNAcentral describes it as "bacterial SSU rRNA". It matches the Rfam family "Bacterial small subunit ribosomal RNA", at positions 954 to 1503 of the family's 1533-position model. The record is from RNAcentral.
AUGAUACGCGAGGAACCUUACCCGGGCUCAAACGGGGAGUGGCGCAGGCAGAGACGCNUGUUUCCCACGGGACACUCCCCGAGGUGCUGCAUGGUUGUCGUCAGCUCGUGCCGUGAGGUGUCGGCUUAAGUGCCAUAACGAGCGCAACCCCCGCGUGCAGUUGCUAACAGUCAACGCUGAGGACUCUGCACGGACUGCCGGCGCAAGCCGCGAGGAAGGCGGGGAUGACGUCAAAUCAGCACGGCCCUUACGUCCGGGGCGACACACGUGUUACAAUGGGUGGUACAGCGGGAAGCCAGGCGGCGACGCCGAGCGGAACCCGAAAUCCACUCUCAGUUCGGAUCGGAGUCUGCAACCCGACUCCGUGAAGCUGGAUUCGCUAGUAAUCGCGCAUCAGCCAUGGCGCGGUGAAUACGUUCCCGGGCCUUGUACACACCGCCCGUCAAGCCAUGGGAGCCGAGGGCGCUUGAAGUGCGUCGCCGCGAGGCGCGCCCUAGAGCGAAAUCGGUGACUGGGGCUAAGUCGUAACAAGGUAGCCGU